RNAcentral lists this ribosomal RNA (434 nucleotides) under uncultured Lachnospiraceae bacterium. RNAcentral's name for it is "partial 16S ribosomal RNA". It matches the Rfam family "Bacterial small subunit ribosomal RNA", at positions 341 to 792 of the family's 1533-position model. The record is from RNAcentral. Lineage: Bacteria; Bacillati; Bacillota; Clostridia; Lachnospirales; Lachnospiraceae.
ACGGAAGGCAGCAGUGGGGAAUAUUGCACAAUGGGGGAAACCCUGAUGCAGCGACGCCGCGUGAGUGAAGAAGUUAUUCGUAAUGUAAAGCUCUAUCAGCAGGGAAGAAAAUGACGGUACCUGACUAAGAAGCCCCGGCUAACUACGUGCCAGCAGCCGCGGUAAUACGUAGGGGGCAAGCGUUAUCCGGAUUUACUGGGUGUAAAGGGAGCGUAGACGGUCUGGCAAGUCUGAUGUGAAAGGCAGGGGCUCAACUCCUGGACUGCAUUGGAAACUGUCAGUCUUGAGUGUCGGAGAGGUAAGCGGAAUUCCUAGUGUAGCGGUGAAAUGCAUAGAUAUUAGGAGGAACACCAGUGGCGAAGGCGGCUUACUGGACGAUAACUGACGUUGAGGCUCGAAAGCGUGGGGAGCAAACAGGAUUAGAUACCCUGGUA